AUUGAACGCUGGCGGCAGGCCUAACACAUGCAAGUCGAGCGGAAGAAGGGAGCUUGCUCCUGGAUUCAGCGGCGGACGGGUGAGUAAUGCCUAGGAAUCUGCCUGUUAGUGGGGGAUAACGUCCGGAAACGGGCGCUAAUACCGCAUACGUCCUGAGGGAGAAAGUGGGGGAGCUUCGGACCUCACGCUAUCAGAUGAGCCUAGGUCGGAUUAGCUAGUUGGUGGGGUAAAGGCCUACCAAGGCGACGAUCCGUAACUGGUCUGUGAGGAUGAUCAGUCACACUGGAACUGAGACACGGUCCAGACUCCUACGGGAGGCAGCAGUGGGGAAUAUUGGACAAUGGGCGCAAGCCUGAUCCAGCCAUGCCGCGUGUGUGAAGAAGGUCUUCGGAUUGUAAAGCACUUUAAGUUGGGAGGAAGGGCAGUAAGUUAAUACCUUGCUGUUUUGACGUUACCAACAGAAUAAGCACCGGCUAACUUCGUG
This 484-nucleotide ribosomal RNA is filed under the name uncultured bacterium. RNAcentral's name for it is "partial 16S ribosomal RNA". It matches the Rfam family "Bacterial small subunit ribosomal RNA", at positions 30 to 507 of the family's 1533-position model. The record is from RNAcentral.